CCUACGGGUGACAGCAGUGGGGAAUAUUGCGCAAUGGGCGCAAGCCUGAUGCAGCGAUGCCGCGUGUGGGAUGAAGGUCUUCGGAUUGUAAACUACUGUCAGCAGGGAAGAACGGUCACUGUGCUAUUCAGCAGCGCAUUGACGGUACCCGCAAAGGAAGCACCGGCUAACUCCGUGCCAGCAGCCGCGGUAAUACGGAGGGUGCGAGCGUUAAUCGGAAUUACUGGGCGUAAAGCGCUCGUAGGCGGUAUGUCAAGUCAAGGGUGAAAUCCCCGCGCUCAACGUGGGAACUGCCUUUGAAACUGGCAAACUGGAGUGUGUGAGAGGAUAGUAGAAUUCCAGGUGUAGGAGUGAAAUCCGUAGAGAUCUGGAGGAAUAUCAGUGGCGAAGGCGACUAUCUGGCACAUGACUGACGCUGAGGAGCGAAAGCGUGGGUAGCAAACAGGAUUAGAUACCCGAGUAGUC
RNAcentral lists this ribosomal RNA (465 nucleotides) under uncultured bacterium. RNAcentral's name for it is "partial 16S ribosomal RNA". It matches the Rfam family "Bacterial small subunit ribosomal RNA", at positions 338 to 795 of the family's 1533-position model. The record is from RNAcentral.